Otolemur garnettii (small-eared galago) is the source of this 107-nucleotide small nuclear RNA. The record is from Ensembl. NCBI's taxonomy places the organism in Eukaryota, Metazoa, Chordata, Mammalia, Primates, Galagidae.
GUACUCUGUUCAGCAGCAUAUACACUAAAAUUGGUAUGAUUUAGAGAAUAUUGGCUUGGUUUCUCUACGAGGAUGUCACACAAACUUAAGAGGAGUUCUACAUUAUU